GAGGGACGGGACGCGGGACGGAGAAGCCCCCCGCGGGAGGAGGGGCUGCCCCGCGGCCGGAUGGCGCGCGCCGGGGAGGGGCCGCGGGCCGCAGGCGGAAGCGGCCGACCCCAGCCCCCCGACUCGGCGUGGGCAGCUCGAAAUGACAGGAUGCGAGAGAACGAGCGACGUCCGGGCGCAGCCGGGUCCUCCCAAACCUCCCAGCCUCCCCGCACGGCCUCGGCUCCCUCCUAGGCUUCACGGGCCGCCCUGCUCAGGCUCCUCUCACCUCAUCAGACCGUCCUGGAAUUGAUUGUUUACCUGGCUGCCUCCCUUACUCUUCUGGGAGAGCCUUCCCGCAAGACAACACCGUGCCCUCUUUAUCAUUAUAACCCCGCUGCUAUUUAAAUACGCUACCUGGUAUACAGUAGGCACUCAAUAAAUACUUGUUGGCUAAGUGACUGUUCCUCCCAGGGAGCCGAACUGGAGACCAACACGGAUGAUCUUCAGAGGGUCAAAGCGGUUUAGGGAAGGAAGAGGGCUCAGCAUUCUGGGAGGUCAGCACACAACGCCUUGUUUAUGCGCCAGCUCGGGAGGACUGCGUGGUUUUGUUUCCUCACCUGUGAAAUGGGAGUAGUUAGAGUUACCUCCCAGGGGGUUGCAAUUAAAGGAGAUGACAGGUCGGUGGACCUAUAGCAUGCAGCACCCAUGCCUGCCCACUUUAGGUUUGCAGGAACUUGGAAGCUACUGUUAUUAUUAAGGAAAUUUUCCAUUUUUUCGGGGGCCGUAGGGAGCUUCUCCAUUCCGGUGUCAUAAACACAUAAAUUUAAAACUGCAUGUAUCAGUAGGUUCUCCCUCACUUCCCACGCCCAGGAAUUCUCUCCCACAGCACGCUGUUCCUUUCUUCACAGCACCAAUCACAAUUUUUGUUUAUUUGCUUGCUUCACUGUUUAUCUCUCUCUGCUCCCCCUCCCCCAGACAUUCUUCACCCUAUAGUGGUUUAAGUGCUCCUGGGAGUGGGAUGGGGGUGGGGAUGAAGAUAAGGCUCUUGCUUUUCGGGAGUUUGAUCCGGUGCUGCAGACAGGAUUCCCAAAACAACUCCACGGCACCGUGAUCAGGGAUCCUGGUUCAAGUCGCAGGAAGCAACGAAAAUACUUGCGUCAAGAGCAUUGUAGAGGGGGAGGGGGGAAGAGUGGUGAUAACUUCCAUUCACCUAUUGGGUUUUUCCUUGGCGUGAGGGGGUGGGGGGAGUCUGAGGAUUUUGGUAAAUAGAUUUAAUUGCUGUCAUGAUGUCCUGUCUCUCUAUGGGGGGCGGGGAGUGUAUCCUGGAUGAAAAUAAGCCAAGAAUCUGUUGAACUUGCAACUGAAGUUUAGAAAAGGCAAGGGCCACAAUUAAUCUGGAAACCUGGACACAGCCCUUUCCACUCCCUCAGUUACAGGAGGAGCCACCAGGGGGCAGUGUCUUCCUGAGCAAUGACUGAGUGGUGGGCUCGGGCCCCCACGCCGCCAAUGCUGCCCGCACUCUGCUCUCCUUGGCCCUUGCCCGGUACUGAAACACUCCACAGAAAGAUAUUGUCUUGCUGGAGCCUGGCAAAGGCCCAAGAAAAAUGACAAUUGAUCUAGUCAUUGAUGGUUGCAGUCGGACGCCACUUAUGAGUAGGUGGAAGAUGUCUGAUUCCAGGAUGCGGCUGCGACCCCAGCCAGGGGGAUCUGGCUUCCUUCCAAGCGUAGAACCUGAUUCCUUGUCUUUCAGCCAAGCCAGCACUUUUGUCCAUUGUUAAAAGUCAAAAGCCUCUGGGAUAAAAAAAUGAAAAUCGGAGCUAUGAGACGA
Molecule: long non-coding RNA, 1810 nt
Organism: Neogale vison (American mink)
Lineage: Eukaryota; Metazoa; Chordata; Mammalia; Carnivora; Mustelidae
Exons: 2
Source: RefSeq, a predicted model, not a curated record